RNAcentral lists this ribosomal RNA (253 nucleotides) under uncultured bacterium. Its description in RNAcentral is "partial 16S ribosomal RNA". It matches the Rfam family "Bacterial small subunit ribosomal RNA", at positions 524 to 776 of the family's 1533-position model. The record is from RNAcentral.
UACGGAGGAUGCAAGCGUUAUCCGGAAUGAUUGGGCGUAAAGCGUCCGCAGGUGGCACUUCAAGUCUGCUGUUAAAUACUAGGGCUCAACCCUGGAGCGGCAGUGGAAACUGAAGAGCUAGAGUUCGGUAGGGGUAGAGGGAAUUCCCGGUGUAGCGGUGAAAUGCGUAGAGAUCGGGAAGAACACCGGUGGCGAAAGCGCUCUGCUAGGCCCAAACUGACACUAAGGGACGAAAGCUAGGGGAGCGAAUGGG